RNAcentral lists this ribosomal RNA (1372 nucleotides) under uncultured bacterium. Its description in RNAcentral is "bacterial SSU rRNA". It matches the Rfam family "Bacterial small subunit ribosomal RNA", at positions 27 to 1381 of the family's 1533-position model. The record is from RNAcentral.
GGACGAACGCUGGCGGCGUGCCUAACACAUGCAAGUCGAGCGAAGUAAGUUGCUUCACCAAAUGUUGAAAACCAUAUUCAAUAUUUGGUGAAGUAACUUACUUAGCGGCGGACGGGUGAGUAACGCGUGAAUAAUCUGCCCCAUACAGGGGGAUACCCUCGGGAAACCGGGAUUAAAACCGCAUGAAGCUUUUUUAUCGCAUGGUAGAGAAGCCAAAUUGAUUAAGAGGUAUGGGAUGAGUUCGCGUCUGAUUAGCUAGUUGGUGAGGUAAGGGCUCACCAAGGCGACGAUCAGUAGCCGGCCUGAGAGGGUGAACGGCCACACUGGAACUGAGACACGGUCCAGACUCCUACGGGAGGCAGCAGUGGGGAAUAUUGCACAAUGGAGGGAACUCUGAUGCAGCGACGCCGCGUGAGUGAAGAAGGUCUUCGGAUCGUAAAACUCUGUCCUUGGUGAAGAAAAGGACGGUAGCCAAGGAGGAAGCCCCGGCUAACUACGUGCCAGCAGCCGCGGUAAUACGUAGGGGGCGAGCGUUGUCCGGAUUUACUGGGCGUAAAGGGUGAGUAGGCGGUUAUAUAUGUCAGGUGUAAAAAGCUAUGGCUUAACCAUAGUUAGCACCUGAAACUGUAUGACUUGAGUGCAGGAAAGGUAAGCGGAAUUCCUAGUGUAGCGGUGAAAUGCGUAGAUAUUAGGAGGAACACCGGUGGCGAAGGCGGCUUACUGGACUGUAACUGACGCUGAGUCACGAAAGCGUGGGUAGCAAACAGGAUUAGAUACCCUGGUAGUCCACGCUGUAAACGAUGAGUGCUAGGUGUUGGGUAGCGAUAUUCAGUGCCGAAGUAAACACAAUAAGCACUCCGCCUGGGGAGUACGUACGCAAGUAUGAAACUCAAAGGAAUUGACGGGGACCCGCACAAGCAGCGGAGCAUGUGGUUUAAUUCGAAGCAACGCGAAGAACCUUACCAAGGCUUGACAUCCCCUUGACAGAUGCAGAGAUGUGUCCUCCUCUUCGGAGGCAAGGGAGACAGGUGGUGCAUGGUUGUCGUCAGCUCGUGUCGUGAGAUGUUGGGUUAAGUCCCGCAACGAGCGCAACCCUUAUCCUUAGUUGCCAGCAUGUAAAGAUGGGCACUCUAAGGAGACUGCCGGUGAUAAACCGGAGGAAGGUGGGGAUGACGUCAAAUCAUCAUGCCCCUUAUGUCUUGGGCUACACACGUGCUACAAUGGUCGGUACAACGGGCAGCGAAGGAGCGAUCCGGAGCGAAUCCCAAUAAACCGAUCCCAGUUCGGAUUGCAGGCUGCAACUCGCCUGCAUGAAGUCGGAGUUGCUAGUAAUCGCGAAUCAGAACGUCGCGGUGAAUGCGUUCCCGGGUCU